RNAcentral lists this ribosomal RNA (440 nucleotides) under uncultured bacterium. RNAcentral describes it as "bacterial SSU rRNA". It matches the Rfam family "Bacterial small subunit ribosomal RNA", at positions 338 to 768 of the family's 1533-position model. The record is from RNAcentral.
CCUACGGGUGGCUGCAGUUCGGAAUAUUCGGCAAUGGACGAAAGUCUGACCGAGCGACGCCGCGUGCGGGAUGAAGGCCCUUUGGGUUGUAAACCGCUGUCACAGGUGAGCAAAUCACGCUGAGUUAACACCUCAGUGUGUUGAGUUAAGCUUGAGAGGAAGCCCCCGCUAAUCACGUGCCAGCAGCGGCGGUAAUACGUGAGGGGCGAACGUUGUUCGGUGUCACUGGGCUUAAAGGGCGCGUAGGUGGUUGCGUAAGUAAGGUGUGAAAGCCCUCGGCUUACCCGGGGAAUUGCGCCUUAUACUGCGUGACUUGAGGAUCUCAGGGGAAGGGGGAACUCCAGGUGUAGCGGUGAAAUGCGCAGAUAUCUGGGGGAAGGCCGGCGGCGAAGGCGCCCUUCUGGGAGAUUCCUGACACUGAGGCGCGAAAGCGUGGGGAG